AGGGGGAGAGCCAUGUUUGAGAAAACGAGACACAGAGGAAACGAUGGAGCAAAACGGAUUAAGCUGGAGAAACGAGGAGACGCCAAAGAGGCAAAGACAUAAGAAGGUGAGCAAAGGGACAAAAUAAAGGAAAGAGAGAAGAUGACAGCUGGCAUUGGGGGAAGGGGGGGGGGGGGUAAAUAAAAAACGAGAAAAUGUAAAAAUGCACACAAUAGAACUGUUAAAAGGCAGAAAUUAAGUGAAGGAGUAAGACAACAAAAAGAGACACGCGCGCAAAGAGGUAGUAUGACUCCACUCGUGUGUUAGUCCCCUGUGCUGCCUCUCAGGGAAGCUGCAAAUAACUAAAUUUAGAGCACACACACUCACACACCAACCACUAUUUCACUAUUUAAUCAGGUUGCUUCAGUACAAGCAUGAGAGUUAUUGUCCAAUAGUAAAUACACACACACACACACACACUGGUUUAACCUUCACCCAUGAAGGACACACGCAUACACACAUUGACAGACAUAAUAAACAAGAGUGGCUGAUAGAGAUCACACAAACAAACGUAUCUGAACUAAAAGCAGGUUAAGGCCAAACCAUCAAAUACAGGGAUGAGAGAGCACAUUCAGAAUGUACUUUUCAAUGUGGGGUGGGGGGGAUGGGGGGUUAGUUGCUUAGCCCACUGCCACUGUGACCAGAAAGUGGAACAAAAUGGAGCUGAAAAUAACAUCAAAAGAAGUCCAAAGAUUCAAGACAUAAGUAGAGCUCCCCGUCAGAACCUUUUAACAGAGAUGAGGGAAAAGUCACAACUUUUAACUCUGCUGCUAUCAUCAUUACAGCUCAUGGUUUUCAGUUUAUUUGUAUCAUUUUGAAUGUAAACUUAAAUUUUCAUGAUUGUUGAAUGAUUUUAUUGUUUUUCCUGUAAUUAGUUGAUCAUGAUUACAAUCAUAAUAAAACAGAGGACAAAGAUUUUAGACAAACAAAAAAUGCUUUUUAUCAACUCACUCAAUUUGCAAACAUGAACAAAAUUGCACAAAAUUAUUACCUGAGAACUGAGAAAGGUUUUAUCUUUAAAUUUUGCUUUUUUUUGGUUCAGAGUUUUGUUCAGUUUUUGUGCAUAAUAGAACAACAUAUAAAUAUAACAAUACAAACAAUAUAACAAAACAUUCCCUUUAAUUACACACAAUAGUUUGGGGAAAAUAAAGUCAACAGUGCAAAUUAAAAAAUAAAAGGGCACAUAAUUAAACAAAAGCAUAAACAACUAUUGGCUCUCAAUCACAACUUUUAGCUUUUUCCCCUAAAGCACUCCUGUGUCCAAGCAAUUAUUCCUUGAAUGGUCCACUUUCGGGCCCUGUCCUCAUGUCGAGAACUACAGAUUUAUAGGUUUUUGUUCAGAAACAAUGUUUUUCCCUUUUAUUGCACUUCUUCUCAAACUCACUGUCUUGCUUUAGAGAAAAUCCUUUCUGCGGGUACAGAUGUCACAAUUACUCCCAGGUGUUUCUUGGCAAAAUUUGCUCAGAAAGGGAAAUGUUGGCUCAUUCAUUUUCCACUAAGGAAGUGGGUCUGCAUCCCCUGGAAUUGGUUUCUCCUUCAAGAACCGGCGCAUUUCAAUUAAGUCAUCAGAGCCAGUUGUGCGCUGCUGCUAGGAUGCAAGGACUUGAGUGCCGAACUCUGUCCAUAUCCCACCUUUUGCUGCAGGUUGGGAUGAAGAAGCCCCAGCAGGAGAGCUUGAGGGAGUUGCAGGAGCUAUUGCUGAGACAGAGCUGGUGGCAGAGCUUGUGAUUGGUUCAGGAACUGAUACUGAAGGGAAUGAGGUCUGGGUCACUAUUUGCAUUUUAGUAAUUAGUCUUAUUUCAAAGUUUCAGCAUUUACCAUGUCACGAAACCCCAAGUUUUUAAAUCUUAUCACCAGGUAGGUGCUGACAGCAAGACCAUAAAAGGUUUUGAUACCUCUAAAAUGGUGCUGGCAUUGUGCUGACAGCUCAGCUUGCUAGCUUAGGACUCAUGAGAUGCGGUCAUUCUUUGAAGUAGUGUAACCAGGGGAACCACUUUGACACUGAAACAUGUUUUUCAGUUGUAACUCUCAUGUCACCUCUUCAAAUGGUCGCAGGGCAUCAAUGGAGAGACUAAUUAUGGACCAAUCUUCCUCACUCGAGCAGAAUGAGCUGUUUCCAAGGAGACUAAGUACUGUAGUUACAGCGUCCUUUUGCUGAAGUAGUCUCUGAAACCUGUCGAACACAGAAUUCCACCUUGUUUCAACUGAUUGUAUCAGUUCUGGGAACUUUAGUUGUUUCUGAUUUCUAUGAGCUUCACUGUUGCAUUUGUGCUGUGGUGAAAGACCACUAUUAUCUGUUAUUACAGCCUUAACUUAAGCAUUUAUGUCCCAUUCGUCAGUGACUAUUUUUUUAAAUUCCAAGCAAAAGUUGUCAGCACUGUGUUUUUCUGAAAAACUACUGGUUUCUAGGACCUACACAUUUGCCAGUCGUCAUCAAUGAUAUGGCAUGAGAAGGUUAAGUAAGCCUUUGUGGCUCUUGAUGUCAACAUAUCAGUUGUUAACACAACAGUGUUUGCAACAUCCAAAAAGAAAGAGGUUGUAGGUCCUUUACAAUCAUUUAAGUACAGGGUGUUCUCGUCACGCAAGUAUCGAUCAACAACAAUACCAACAUUAGUACCGAUGCUGUGGAAUGAUCCACCCACCACUACCUGUUACCACUUAUCUCUUGGUUUAACCCAUUGAUGGAUUUAUUGAUUGAAAAAUUAUUUAUAUUUACAACAAAAAAAUACAUGAGAAGAGUUCAAUACGUCACUCAUGAGUGGUAUUAGAAAACUCUAAACUCAAGCAAAUAAUUCACACCAAUCAGCACAGAGAUACCUCAUUGACGUUUGUCAACAAUGGAUGAGCAGAGGUUCAUGUGUCUGAAGAAUAGAAGGUAAACCUAUCCUGAUGUCAUUCAUGGCAAGCUGAAUUUUAUGAUAUUUAUUAUUGAGACAGAAUAAUAAAAAAAAAAGCUUGCCUGGAAUGAAGUCAGUGAAUAAGUUGGAUCACUGCUCAGUUAGCUAUUAAACAUAACAGAUCAAUAUGGUUAAAAUAUGAUCAGUCCCCUGUAAACAUAGUUGCAUGACUUGUAAUUUAAAAAUGAAGUAAAAAGAAAAAAAAAAGUGGAAGACAGUGAAAAAAACAACAACUUUAAUUUAUACAAAUUGACACAACAGUAUAUUUUGUUCUGAUUUGUUAAAAAGUAAUCCUUCAUAUAAAGUUAUGACUCUGAUUCUUGGAAAAAUGAAUAAACCCAGACUCUAAUCCUUUUCAGCUUCUGGCUGAAACACUUUCCAUUGCUUCCACUUACAUGAAGUUGGACACACCUGUGAGUGUUACUAUUUACACAGCACUGCAGUCAGGACACAACCAGAAAGUCAUGCCAGUCUAAGGAUGGCCAUUAGCCCUUACUGCUCCAUUUAGCCAUGCUACCAUGUGUUGGUGCCGCAGUAAUAACAGAUGGAGCCUCCCUGUUGUUUACUAUCAUUUGAGAUGCAAAUCCAGCUUCUAUUGGUCUGACCAAAACAAACAUCUUUGUUGUUGCCUAACAACACAAAAACUUCCCACUGUUUUCUUGUGUCUGUGUCUUUGUGAAGCUUUGAGUUUUCUUCACAUCCAAAAGAACAUUUCUGAGACUUAGUGAAUUUGUACAGAGCAGAAUGAAGAAAAAAGUUGGGCGGUCAAACAGACUUCCCAGGUUGGGGUGGGUAUGUCUUUGUAAGGUCCCAAUAGAAGCGUAUUGGUCAGAUUGGAGCCACAAUUUAAAUGAGCUGUUCAUAUACCAUAUAAAACGUGCAGAUGUUAGUUCACUAUAUAUAUUUGAAGUUAUUGAACUUUGCUGCAGUUCAGUCCAAUGCUGUUAUUUUAUAUAACAGUUUGAAAGUAUAGAAAACUUAACAGGUGUUUUUUAACCAACUCUUUUUAACUUAUAGAAAAUCACAGUUCAGUCAUCAGAGAGAGACUCACAUAAAGAAAAAGGCAGGCAUCUAUCAUGUUUGUAUAAAUAAAAGAAAAGAGAAUGUGUUUGUUCUAGACUUUUCUCACAAUGACAAUCAAUUUUGAAUUACCCAUGGGAUCUGUCUACUUGCUGGUUUCGUGCUUGCCGCUCUUCACCUUAUCUCUAUCACACACAUUCAGGCACACACUCAACUUUCUCGGCAGCCCAGAGAAGCAUACCACCAAAUCACUUUCUGUUAUCGUCAAAGUCAGUACUUUCAACCAUAGCGUGUCCAAACCUUUCUUCCUGUGAACUCACUUCCCUUCUUUGUUCUUUCUCAGGCCGUUCUCUCCAACGGCUUGUUGUCAUUUCAUCCAUAUUUUGUGAGUUGGAAAACAAUAUUCUUUGUGCAUUGCUUCAUAAAUUGAGGGGAAGUAACAUCAAUACAUUUCUCAGACAAAGCGAAAGCCUAUUGGCAGAAAAACAAAUAUGCAAGUGGAAAAAUGCUGUAUUAUUGAGACGUCCAUUUCUAACAGCACAGUGGGGCUGUCAGACUCUUUUUUUAAUCGUGUCUAGUUGCUGUCAAGCUUGUAGGACAGGGGCACAAAGUACAGGCAGUAGCACUGAGGAUGUAUGGGAUUAAUCUGCUUGUACAAGGGUUUGAUCUGGUGCUUAUAUCUACGUAAAUGUUGAUCAAAGUCUCUGACACAUUGAGGAAGAAAAUACUGCUCUAGUCAGUCUGGCACACUUUUUAAGACUGACUUAACUCAAAAAUGCCAAGUCAAUAAGCUUAUACAGGGAGCAUAUGGAUGAAAGUUUAUGAAUGAAUGAUACCUCUCGAAGCAGUGACAAAAUCAAGAGCAAAAAAUGAAAAAAGUGUUUUUUAGUCUGAGUUAUUUUAUCACCAAAAGCCCAAAUUUUCCAGGUUUCAGACAAAAAAUAAUGGGUUGACACCUUUUUUUUUUCUUUUUUUUUUUUUAAACUAAGAACAAUGAUUAGUGGCCAUAGUGACAGUUAUAAAUAAUGCCAGCUAAAAAAAAAGUCAUAAAGAAGCUUUACCCAACAUGAAGUAAGGGAUAGAGCCUGACUCACGCAAACAAAGAUAUAAGAUACCAAUACUGCUGGUGCCUAGUGUUUUAGGUCUUUCAUUGUCUUAUUUUUUACUUGUCAGAUGAUCUCAAUUGGAAAGUUGUUCUUUGGUGUAAAGCCAUAUAAUUAUUACUGGAUUUCAAGAUUCCACUUUACAGAAUUGGAAUAUGUAGUCUUGGUCAUUAGAAGAAAAAAUUGUGGUGAGACACCUCCAUCUCCUGUUUUAUUUUGGUUGAACGUCCUGUUUUUCCUUGUUUCCCUGGUCUGGCUUGACUGUGUUUCAGAGCACGCUCCCUCUCCCCGGUCGCUGAGGCUGAGAGAGACUCCACACCUGCACUGCAUCUGCAAUCAAGGCCCUUAAAGAAGCCAGCAGCCCUCAGUCUCAGCGCCUGAGUAUUGUUUUCGCUCCUGAGCGGUACAGAUGCUUCUCCCAGCCUUCUCCUCGGCUAAGUGCUCAUGAUUUUUGCUCCCUGUGAUUCCUCGUAUGUCUUCUCACCUCUUUCUCUUCUGCUUCUCCACAGUGUCUCCAGCCCACACAACAGUCAGCCAGCCAAACCGGACUUCCCUCGUGC
Xyrichtys novacula (pearly razorfish) is the source of this 5619-nucleotide non-coding RNA. The record is from the annotation of a GenBank genome assembly. Lineage: Eukaryota; Metazoa; Chordata; Actinopteri; Labriformes; Labridae.